Molecule: transfer RNA, 74 nt
Filed under: Candidatus Woesebacteria bacterium RIFCSPHIGHO2_01_FULL_39_95
Lineage: Bacteria; Candidatus Woeseibacteriota
Also listed under: 4 other names
Description: tRNA-Pro
Rfam family: tRNA
About the family: Transfer RNA (tRNA) molecules are approximately 80 nucleotides in length. Their secondary structure includes four short double-helical elements and three loops (D, anti-codon, and T loops). Further hydrogen bonds mediate the characteristic L-shaped molecular structure. tRNAs have two regions of fundamental functional importance: the anti-codon, which is responsible for specific mRNA codon recognition, and the 3' end, to which the tRNAs corresponding amino acid is attached (by aminoacyl-tRNA synthetases). tRNAs cope with the degeneracy of the genetic code in two manners: having more than one tRNA (with a specific anti-codon) for a particular amino acid; and 'wobble' base-pairing, i.e. permitting non-standard base-pairing at the 3rd anti-codon position.
Source: RNAcentral
CGGGGUGUAGUUUACCGGUAGAAUGGGCGCAUGGGGUGCGUCCGGACUGGGUUCAAUUCCCAGCACCCCGACAA